AUUUAAACAACUCUUCAAAACAUUUAUAUAUCUUAGUAUAGGUGAUAGAACAGAUACAUUCUUAGGCACAAUAGAGAGAGUACCGUGAGGGAACGUUGAAAGAUCUUAUCCUGUAAGCAAUAAAAAGCAAAGAUUAAGCCUUCUACCUUUUGCAUAAUGAUUUAGCUAGUCUACCCGGACAAAAAGAAUUAAAGCCCGUCUUCCCGAAAUUAAGUGAGCUAUUGUAGAACAGUUAUUAGAACGAACUCGUCUAUGUAGCAAAAUAGUGAGAUGAUUUUACAAUAGAGGUGAAAAGCCUAUCGAACUUAAUGAUAGCUGGUUGUCCAAAAAGUGAAUUUUAGUUCAACUUUAAAUUUAACUUAAGUACUAAUAAACUGAAUUUAAAUUUAAAUGCUAUUCAAAAGGGGGACAACUCUUUUGAUAUGUAAACAAACUUGCUUAGUGGGUAAUGAUAUAUACAUAAUACAUUGUAGGCCUAAAAGCAGCCACCAAUUAAGAAAGCGUUAAAGCUCAAACUAGACUGUUAUUUAAUACCAAUCAUUUAUCAAAACCCCUAAUCCAAUAUUGGACAAUUCUAUUAAUAUUUAGAAGAUAUAAUGCUAAUAUGAGUAACAUGAAUUUAUUCUCCUUGCAUAAGCAUAAAUAUGACCGGAACAGCCGCUUACACUUAAUCAACCAGAUAACUAUACCCAUAUACAAGCAUCCUAUUACCCUUAUUGUUAACCCAACCCAGGCAUGCAUAAAAAGGAAAGAUUAAAAGGAAUAAAAGGAACUCGGCAAACAAAACCCCGCCUGUUUACCAAAAACAUCACCUCUAGCAUUAACCAGUAUUAGAGGCACUGCCUGCCCGGUGAGUUAUGACUUUAACGGCCGCGGUAUCCUGACCGUGCAAAGGUAGCAUAAUCACUUGUCUUUUAAUUGAAGACUAGUAUGAAUGGCAUGACGAGGGUUU
This 952-nucleotide ribosomal RNA is filed under the name Antechinus arktos. RNAcentral's name for it is "partial 16S ribosomal RNA". It matches the Rfam family "Bacterial large subunit ribosomal RNA", at positions 208 to 2014 of the family's 2925-position model. The record is from RNAcentral. Lineage: Eukaryota; Metazoa; Chordata; Mammalia; Dasyuromorphia; Dasyuridae.